UACGUAGGGGGCAAGCGUUGUCCGGAUUUAUUGGGCGUAAAGAGCGUGUAGGCGGUUCGGUAGGUCCGUUGUGAAAACUCGAGGCUCAACCUCGAGACGCCGAUGGAAACCAUCGAACUAGAGUCCGGAAGAGGAGAGUGGAAUUCCUGGUGUAGCGGUGAAAUGCGCCGAUAUCAGGAAGAACACCCGUGGCUAAGGCGGCUCUCUAGUACGGUACUGACGCUGAGACGCGAAAGCGUGGGAGCGAACAGG
This 252-nucleotide ribosomal RNA is filed under the name uncultured bacterium. RNAcentral's name for it is "partial 16S ribosomal RNA". It matches the Rfam family "Bacterial small subunit ribosomal RNA", at positions 524 to 776 of the family's 1533-position model. The record is from RNAcentral.